GUCCUAGCCCUAAACGAUCAGGACUUGGGGUGCAUCCAGACGGGGUGCGUCCCGUAGCUAACGCGUUAAGUCCUGCGCCUGGGGAGUACGGUCGCAAGACUGAAACUCAAAGGAAUUGACGGGGGCCCGCACAAGCGGUGGAACAUGUGGUUCAAUUCGACGCGACGCGAAGAACCUUACCUGGGCUUGAACUGCUACUGACCAGCGGUGGAAACAUCGCAUUCUCGCAAGAGACAGUAGUAGAGGUGCUGCAUGGCUGUCGU
Molecule: ribosomal RNA, 263 nt
Filed under: uncultured bacterium
Lineage: Bacteria
Description: partial 16S ribosomal RNA
Rfam family: Bacterial small subunit ribosomal RNA
Source: RNAcentral